GUAAACCCAAGGUUUCCAGGGGAAGGUUCGUCCGCCCUGGGUUAGUCGGGACCUAAGCUGAGGCCGAAAGGCGUAGGUGAUGGACAACAGGUUGAUAUUCCUGUACUACCGAUAACCGUUUGAGAGAAGGGAUGACACAGUAGGAUAAGCUAAGCACACUGUUGGUUAUGUGUGCCCAAGCAUUGAGGCAGUCAAAGUAGGCAAAUCCGCUUUGAUAAUGCUGGGAUGUGAUGGGGAGCGAAAUUUAGUAGCGAAGUAGCUGAUUUCACACUGUCAAGAAAAGUCUCUAUCGAGGUUAAAGGUACCCGUACCGCAAACCGACACAGGUGGGUGAGGAGAGUAUCCUAAGGCCAGCGAGAGAACUGUUGUUAAGGAACUCGGCAAAAUGACCCCGUAACUUAGGGAUAAGGGGUGCCACCAUCAGGUGGCCGCAGAGAAUAGGCCCAAGCGACUGUUUACCAAAAACAUAGGUUUCUGCUAAGUCGCAAGACGAUGUAUAGGAGCUGACGCCUGCCCGGUGCUGGAAGGUUAAGGGGAUCUGUUAGAGCAAUCGAAGCAGUGAACUUAAGCCCCAGUAAACGGCGGCCGUAACUAUAACGGUCCUAAGGUAGCGAAAUUCCUUGUCGGGUAAGUUCCGACCCGCACGAAAGGCGUAACGAUUUGGGCACUGUCUCA
RNAcentral lists this ribosomal RNA (675 nucleotides) under Clostridioides difficile. RNAcentral describes it as "partial 23S ribosomal RNA". It matches the Rfam family "Bacterial large subunit ribosomal RNA", at positions 1339 to 2023 of the family's 2925-position model. The record is from RNAcentral. Lineage: Bacteria; Bacillati; Bacillota; Clostridia; Peptostreptococcales; Peptostreptococcaceae.